GGGCAGAUAGCUCAGUCGGUAGAGCAGGAGAUUGAAAAUUUCCGUGUCGGGGGUUCAAUUCCCUCUCUGCCCACCA
This 76-nucleotide transfer RNA is filed under the name Deltaproteobacteria bacterium. RNAcentral's name for it is "tRNA-Phe". It matches the Rfam family "tRNA". From Rfam's summary of the family: Transfer RNA (tRNA) molecules are approximately 80 nucleotides in length. Their secondary structure includes four short double-helical elements and three loops (D, anti-codon, and T loops). Further hydrogen bonds mediate the characteristic L-shaped molecular structure. tRNAs have two regions of fundamental functional importance: the anti-codon, which is responsible for specific mRNA codon recognition, and the 3' end, to which the tRNAs corresponding amino acid is attached (by aminoacyl-tRNA synthetases). tRNAs cope with the degeneracy of the genetic code in two manners: having more than one tRNA (with a specific anti-codon) for a particular amino acid; and 'wobble' base-pairing, i.e. permitting non-standard base-pairing at the 3rd anti-codon position. Lineage: Bacteria; Pseudomonadati; Myxococcota; Myxococcia. The record is from RNAcentral.